GUAAAACCGCUGAUUGGGAAAUAAAACAUUUUAGUUGCUUACAGAGAAUCGGUGUUGCUGGAAAUCCGAUAGAGAUGACGAUUUGUAAAUGGACCCAUGAGGGACUGAUGAAAGCUUAAGCUAAUUAGGUGAGUAUCCCAGUACGGAGGCUUCCGUUAAAAAGCAGAGGAUGUGUUGGCAUCUUCACAAGAGAGAGUAAUUUUAUUACUAAAAAAGGUGGUACCGCAGGCUAUGCUUGUCCUUUUA
RNAcentral lists this non-coding RNA (246 nucleotides) under Johnsonella ignava. RNAcentral's name for it is "T-box sequence". It matches the Rfam family "T-box leader". Rfam says of the family: Uncharged tRNA acts as the effector for transcription antitermination of genes in the T-box leader family. T-boxes are found upstream of many aminoacyl-tRNA synthetase genes and some amino acid biosynthetic genes usually in Gram-positive bacteria. The record is from RNAcentral. Lineage: Bacteria; Bacillati; Bacillota; Clostridia; Lachnospirales; Lachnospiraceae.